AGAGUUUGAUCAUGGCUCAGAAUCAACGCUGGCGGCGCGCUUAACACAUGCAAGUCGCACGAGAAAGGGAGCAAUCCUAAGUAAAGUGGCGCACGGGUGAGUAACACGUGGAUCAUCUACCUUUUAGCGGGGAAUACCUCUGGGAAACCGGAGACAAUACCGCAUAAGCCUGUAAAGGGAAAGCAGCAAUGCGCUGAAAGAGGAGUCCGCGGCCGAUUAGCUAGUUGGCGGGGUAAUGGCCCACCAAGGCGAAGAUCGGUAGCCGGCCUGAGAGGGCACACGGCCACACUGGCACUGAAACACGGGCCAGACUCCUACGGGAGGCAGCAGUGGGGAAUCUUGCACAAUGGACGAAAGUCUGAUGCAGCGACGCCGCGUGAGCGAUGAAGCCCUUCGGGGUGUAAAGCUCUUUCGACGGGAACGAUAAUGACGGUACCCGGAGAAGAAGCUGCGGCUAACUACGUGCCAGCAGCCGCGGUAAUACGUAGGCAGCGAGCGUUGUUCGGAAUUACUGGGCGUAAAGAGUGUGUAGGCGGUGUUCCCAGUCUGUUGUGAAAUCUCCCGGCUUAACUGGGAGGGUGCAGCGGAAACUAGAAUGCUAGAGGGUGGGAGAGGUAAGCGGAAUUCCUGGUGUAGCGGUGAAAUGCGUAGAUAUCAGGAGGAACACCUGGUGUAGACAGCUUACUGGACCACUUCUGACGCUGAGACACGGAAGCGUGGGUAGCAAACAGGAUUAGAUACCCUAGUAGUCC
Molecule: ribosomal RNA, 752 nt
Filed under: uncultured bacterium
Lineage: Bacteria
Description: bacterial SSU rRNA
Rfam family: Bacterial small subunit ribosomal RNA
Source: RNAcentral